AGCGAACGCUGGCGGCAGGCUUAACACAUGCAAGUCGAACGGGCGUAGCAAUACGUCAGUGGCAGACGGGUGAGUAACGCGUGGGAACGUACCUUUUGGUUCGGAACAACCCAGGGAAACUUGGGCUAAUACCGGAUAAGCCCUUACGGGGAAAGAUUUAUCGCCGAAAGAUCGGCCCGCGUCUGAUUAGCUAGUUGGUGAGGUAACGGCUCACCAAGGCGACGAUCAGUAGCUGGUCUGAGAGGAUGAUCAGCCACAUUGGGACUGAGACACGGCCCAAACUCCUACGGGAGGCAGCAGUGGGGAAUAUUGGACAAUGGGCGCAAGCCUGAUCCAGCCAUGCCGCGUGAGUGAUGAAGGCCCUAGGGUUGUAAAGCUCUUUUGUGCGGGAAGAUAAUGACGGUACCGCAAAGAAUAAGCCCCCGGCUAAACUUCGUGCCAGCCGCCGCAGUAAC
RNAcentral lists this ribosomal RNA (455 nucleotides) under uncultured bacterium. RNAcentral describes it as "bacterial SSU rRNA". It matches the Rfam family "Bacterial small subunit ribosomal RNA", at positions 29 to 524 of the family's 1533-position model. The record is from RNAcentral.